AUUGAACGCUGGCGGCAGGCCUAACACAUGCAAGUCGAGCGAGCGGCGGACGGGUGAGUAAUGUCUGGGAAACUGCCUGCUGGAGGGGGAUAACUACUGGAAACGGUAGCUAAUACCGCAUACCAUCAGAGGGGCCCAGAUGGGAUUAGCUAGUGGGUGGGGUAACGGCUCACCUAGGCGACGAUCCCUAGCUGGUCUGAGAGGAGGACCAGCAACACUGGAACUGAGACACGGUCCAGACGCCUACGGGAGGCAGCAGUGGGGAAUAUUGCACAAUGGGGUCAAGCCUGAUGCAGCCAUGCCGCGUGUGUGAAGAAGGCCUUCGGGUUGUAAAGCACUUUCAGCGGAGAGGCGUUACCCGCAGAAUAAGCACCGGCUAACUCCGUGCCAGCAGCCGCGGUAAUUC
Molecule: ribosomal RNA, 406 nt
Filed under: uncultured bacterium
Lineage: Bacteria
Description: partial 16S ribosomal RNA
Rfam family: Bacterial small subunit ribosomal RNA
Source: RNAcentral